GUGCUCACUUUGGAAGCACAUAUACUAAAAUUGAAACCAUACAGAGAAGAUUGGCAUGGUCACUGCUGCAAGGAUGACACACAAUUUCUUGCAGCAUUCUGUAUUUUU
Small nuclear RNA from Loxodonta africana (African savanna elephant), 108 nucleotides. Lineage: Eukaryota; Metazoa; Chordata; Mammalia; Proboscidea; Elephantidae. The record is from Ensembl.